Molecule: non-coding RNA, 1072 nt
Organism: Rattus norvegicus (Norway rat)
Lineage: Eukaryota; Metazoa; Chordata; Mammalia; Rodentia; Muridae
Source: RefSeq, a predicted model, not a curated record
AGUGGGAAUCAUGGGUGAAUAUCGGACAUCGUGUGUCUCUACCCUUGGUGUAGGACUUGGCUCUUUUGUGGCCACACUGUGGAAAAGAAAUAACCGUAGCAGCAGGUGUAGAUGAACACACGUGUCUACGGCCAUAUCACCCUGAACGGCCGUUCCCAGAGCCACAACCCCACCCCUCCGGGGGGUGGAGCUAACUUGGCCACUCCCAUCUCCGCAGAACCCUCUAGAAGAGGUGAUCAGUUCCUUUAAUAAGAAAUGGGAGGGAAUUCAUAGUUGCCUGCAGGCACGCCAGUCACUAGUGAGUCAGUGAAAUAGACGUGAAGGUUCCCCCAAGAGAGUUUGUCUGGGUUUAGAGGACAGGAGCUCAGACAAUGGAGGAAGAGAGCAGAGUCUUAGGGACUGCGAUAGGGUAAAAAAGACCAGCCCAUGGCGUGGGCCCUAUGGUGACAGAACUUUCUAGGGAGCAGGGUUGCUGCAGCUCGGCACUGCCAUGGUGCCUGCCCCCUUUAGGGUUCUAGAGCUUGAUCUGGAAGGAAUGUUAGAGGUUUCCAUGCGAUGCCCUGGUCUGGGGAUAGGAAGAAGGGUAUGCAGUGUUCUUUGACCCCAGUCUGUGAGGCCGAGGACAUCACUGGCUAUCGGAGGGAGAGUAUUGGGGAUUCAGUGAAGCCACGCAUGCGUUCUGUACUGUCCUUGAAUGACGCAGUAAGUGGUUGUUCGUGCCAUUACCACCCACCUUCUGAUAGAGCAGCCAAGGCUUCAAGGAGGCUGUGUUAGGACUGGACUCCUCGUCUUAACAGGAGCUGCCUCCGGGCGAAAUAGAUGUUGGGAAAUGCCUGACAAGUAUCCAUCUCCUGGAGCCGGCAGAGAUGCUCUGAGAGAAGACUCUGAAAGCUGCCACUCAGCCUGGCAGAGCCUCAUCCAUUAGAGCUCUUGACAUUUCUGUGAAGGAGGAGAGGCUGCCCCACCGUGCUGAGGCUCCUUGCUGCUCCACAGACACACCAUGGACACAUCUAUUUACCUACCCCUCCUUCCCCAUUCUGCUGAUUCUGGAGAGAAACCAAGUCAAAACAAA